Molecule: non-coding RNA, 120 nt
Filed under: Tistrella mobilis
Lineage: Bacteria; Pseudomonadati; Pseudomonadota; Alphaproteobacteria; Geminicoccales; Geminicoccaceae
Also listed under: 1 other name
Description: TPP sequence
Rfam family: TPP riboswitch aptamer (THI element)
About the family: Vitamin B(1) in its active form thiamin pyrophosphate (TPP) is an essential coenzyme that is synthesised by coupling of pyrimidine and thiazole moieties in bacteria. The previously detected thiamin-regulatory element, thi box was extended, resulting in a new, highly conserved RNA secondary structure, the THI element, which is widely distributed in eubacteria and also occurs in some archaea. Analysis of operon structures identified a large number of new candidate thiamin-regulated genes, mostly transporters, in various prokaryotic organisms.
Source: RNAcentral
AGACCUCACCAGGGGUGUCCCGACAAGGGGCUGAGAUUCUGCCGGGCCGCAAGGCAGCGCAGGGACCCGAAGAACCUGAUCCAGUUCAUACUGGCGGAGGGAUGGUGCGGAUGGCCGGCC